AGUUUUUAAAAGAAAUAAAAAAUGAAGCAUUUACUGUGCGCGUUUUGUAAUUUGUAUACUGUCUGUAGUAGCACUGGUACUCGUAUGGGCUGAAUGUUUUUAUUAGCAGAUAUGACCAAGUUCAGGGUAAAGAGACGGUUGCAGCGAAAGUUCUAACGCCAUCGACGUGAAUUUUCCAACCUUUCUUCUUCCUCCAUGGUUCGAACCAGCAAUAGAGGAGGCGCUGUUCGAACCGUCAGCCAUGCGGAACCUUGCAACUUGGGCGAGACCCUUUGUGAGCGGUAAUGUGAUAAAGCAGGAAGUUAUAUUGAGCUGUAUUCUGGAGAUGCCAUUCGCCCUUGCCGACACUUGCGAAAGUGGUGAACAUACCAGUGCCGCCUUUUUGCAUUCUGGCUACCCAAAACAUAUCUGGAAAGCUUUGUGAAGCUGCUGAGAUAUUGCAUCUAUAGGCUGUCCGCUGAGGCCUGGCAGAUCUGAUUGCCACAAUUGACCUACUUGUCUACUCUGGCAGAGCGAAAAACGAUAUUUGAGCACUACUUACUCCUAGUGUCUAGCUGGGCUCACUCCAGGGUUCAGUGGCAAGUCACCGUCUCCUACUUAAUUUUGCCAUUGUUUGUGUGUUUAAUUUCUUAAGGGCUGUCUCUUUCAAUUAAGUAACAUUGUAGCAUGAUUCCUUUUCACAGGGAAAGCUGUUAUGAAAUCACAAGAAGGGUCGCGUGUGGUGCCGUAGUUUCCUGCUGCCGGUGUUUUUAACGACUAUUGCACAAAAUAAUAAAUAAAAAAAUGGAAACAAUAACACGGAGAACAGAGCGAGAUUCGAACCCGGGUUCCCUGCAUCACAUCCCAGCAUUCUACUGCAGAGCCACCCCGUGCCCGUAACUUUGUUGCAAGCUCUCCUUAGGCAGGCUUCAUGUAGGGAAAGGAAUCUUCAUGUAGGGAAAGGCAGGCUUCAUGUAGGGAAAGGAAUAGCAUUGGUAUGAAUAAUAAAGCGUUUUAGAACAGCAAAGGAUGUACCAGGCAUCACAGCGUACGAAUUGCAUAACGAGUGCGUUCAAUGCUCCAACUCAUUACAAAAGCUUGUUCUUGAUCACCUAUCAAGUGUGGCGCAUACCCGCUUCGUCGUCACCAGCCACUCCAUAAAAAAUUUGCACAAAUUCUUUGCAAGUGUGCAGGGGAUUUCACGCUUCUUCGAAAAAUGACGAAGGAUAGCAUAAUAAAGGCCAUUCAAAACCGUGGGCCCGCCUACUGCACAAAAUUUAUAAUUAUUUGUGGCAUAGUGGGCACCUAUCUAAGUGUGCUUCUUGUAGUUACCCGAAAGAGUGUUUAGAAAAGACUCUGACAGGCCACUCUUCCAGUCUUGGUCGUGACUAUGUUGCAUGUUCCGCGCAGAUCUGGCAACCGUAGUGGAAGUGCUGUGCUGCUCCGACUUGCUUCAAACUGCUCCUAACAGUAAUUUUUGUUAGGAAUUGCUCCAGAGCUGCUCUGAAAUGACACCUAUAGAAUGAGAAUAACGAAUUUUUGUGUUUGAUCGACUAGAGAAACUGAAAAGAAUAUGUGUACUAUCAUCCCAGUGUGCUACAUGUGUGCAGCAUUAUCAGCUCUGAUCUGAUUUGCGUGACAAAAGCUGGCAUGUUAAGCAUAUAUCUCAUUUGGCUGUUCUUUUUUUUUUCUCUGUUAGACAUGCAGGCUAGUGUGGUGAAAUGUGAAAAUUAGCAGGAUUGUGUUUACCUCAUGCCGAUUAUCUACUGCUUACUUGGCAACACUUAUAUUGGACUGUGUUCACUUCUAAAGUAUGGCACUCAGCUUUUCCAGUUUUUAUUUGAUUUGUGCCACAAAUACUAGUAUUUUUAAUUGUAGCUUAUUUCAGAGCACUUUUUUGACAACCUGCAAUUGUUUGCUUCAUGAAAUUUAUAUUGAUUGUUGUCUCUUGAAUAUAACAUUAGCAUUUACCAGAUGCUUCGACGAUGCUCUGAACUUCUUUAUAGUAUGGGCAAUUUCCUGCUCCUAAAAUACCAGUGGCUACUCUUAAUUAGCAUUUUUUUCUGCUCCGUAAACAUUUACGGCUGCUCGAAAGUAGUACUCUUCUUGUGAAAUAUUAAAUGUCACUUCCAUCACUUCUAGGGUGCACGCCUUCGGACUUUGAGAAUAAAGUUUUCUCAAACCAAACUUCCAUCACUGUGGCUUUUUUGUUCUUUUUUUCAAUGACAGGGAAUGCUUGAAGCACGUGUUUAAAGCUCAAAGAGAUCUCUGGAAGAUUAUUCAGCAAUAAAGAGUUUUUUCUUUGUAGUA
RNAcentral lists this long non-coding RNA (2289 nucleotides) under Rhipicephalus microplus (southern cattle tick). Its description in RNAcentral is "uncharacterized LOC119161483". The record is from RNAcentral. Lineage: Eukaryota; Metazoa; Arthropoda; Arachnida; Ixodida; Ixodidae.